GAUGAAGAACGUAGUGAAAUGCGAUAAGUAAUGCGAAUUGCAGAAUUCAGUGAGUCAUCGAAUCUUUGAACGCACAUUGCGCCCUGUGGUAUUCCGCAGGGCAUGCCUGUUCGAGCGUCAUUUCAACCCUCAAGCUCUGCUUGGUGUUGGGCCCUGCCCGCUGCGGCCGGCCCUAAAGACAGUGGCGGUGCCGCCUGGCCCUGAGCGUAGUACAUCUCUCGCUCCAGUGCCCGGUGGUAGCCUGCCAGAACCCCAACUCUCGUGGUUGACCUCGGAUCAGGUAGGGAUACCCGCUGAACUUAAGCAUAUCAAUAACGGAGGA
RNAcentral lists this unclassified non-coding RNA (322 nucleotides) under soil metagenome. Its description in RNAcentral is "partial contains 5.8S ribosomal RNA, internal transcribed spacer 2, and large subunit ribosomal RNA". The stretch from base 1 to 120 matches the Rfam family "5.8S ribosomal RNA", at positions 35 to 154 of the family's 154-position model. The record is from RNAcentral.